This 2460-nucleotide long non-coding RNA is filed under the name Felis catus (domestic cat). RNAcentral describes it as "lncRNA (ENSFCAG00000049572.1)". Lineage: Eukaryota; Metazoa; Chordata; Mammalia; Carnivora; Felidae. The record is from RNAcentral.
CCGUCCCCAAUGGGACUCCCUUCCUGUUGGGGGAGGGGGCCCUGGUGGUCCUGGAGCCACCCUCCUCUUGCAGACUAGUCAACCCAAGUGUUCAAGGUCACAGGCCUAAGACUGACUCCUGGGAAAUCUCCUCUCCCUCCUGUCCCAGGCCAAUCCCUUCGGACCCAGAUCAAAGCUUCCAUUUCCCUCCCCACCCCUGUGGGGCUGACCUCACCAGAUGGGAAAGAGGGUUCUAUUCUUUCUUUCCUGUUCUUCUCCACCUCCUCGCCUCCUCCAAUGUGGGAGUUUGUGGCUCACACCGCACCCUGCUGGGGGGACAGGGCACUACUGAAUGGGGCAAAGUGGCCGUGGCAUCCCCCACAGGGGACAGCUCUGCCCACACGUCUCCCCACCCCCCCCCCAUCCACUGCAGUCUGCAGGGUGUCUGCCCCACCCACCCACUCCUCUCAGGUGGGCCUCACUGCUGCCCUGAGGGCCCCUGUUCCUGACCCUGGCUGGGGCACCCCUCAGGCUGUCUCUCCUGAGAACCUACCUUGGCUGGCAGCCCUUGAGGCGUGGUUCUCAGUAGCCCUCAGCAGUGCACUUCGGCUCCCAGCGCCACACAGGACCGACCCCAGCCUGGCCAUGCCCGGCCUCAUCCUCACGUGGCUGCAGGGGAGCUCCAUGGACCCCCCCACCCCAGCCCACAGGAUCCCUAAGAGCUCUCCUUUCUCUCUCUGGAGGCAGCGAGGAGGAUGUUGGGCCCAAAUCUGAUCCAUGUGUGAGCCAGCUGAACUCAGGAACAUUCCCAGGGAAGUGACGUUCCUCAGACCACCCGCCCCCCCCCCCAAUCCCGGCCUGAGCCUCCCCGCUGGACAUACUCAACUGGGGGCCAACAGAGCAAAUUCCAAGACAAAGUUUCAAGAAUGAUGAUUCAGAGGCUCACAGAGGACAUUUGCGGGUAAGAGCUUGCUUGCUUCAUCCCUUCUGCCACCAGGACCAGCCUGGGGACAUGUGACAGAGCAAGUCUGUGCAGGGACAGGAGGCACAGGGGGCCGGGCUGGGGGCUCAGGUGGGGGGGCUUGCUCUCUGAAGGGACAUGGCAGGAGCUGGGAGCUGGCGUGUCGUCGGUGCUGAUGUGGUGCCAGGUGCGGCACGGGCACAGUCCUGCUCUGCACCUUGGGGCUGCGGAGUCGUGGGGUCACUUGGUGCCAUCAGAUGGCCGGGAGGGCAGAGCUGGGACCCCACCUGAGUGACCAGCUCUUGACAUGGUCCCACUGCCCUUUUAAGCAUGAACGAGGAUGAGCCGGUGAGAAGUGAAGAAAGGGCCUUGAGCAGGAGACACGCAGACCCUCCCUGAGUCCUGCCUGGUCCCCGGGCUGAGCCAGCUGCCCCUGCAGUGUCCCUCAGGCUGGCCACAGCUGCCUGCCGACCCAAGGCUUCCUGACCGGCUCGUCCUCUUUCCCUUUGGUCCAAGCUCUGCACUCUGCCCGUCAACCACCCGGCGGGGGGGGGGGGGGGGGGGGGGGGGGGGGCGCUGGGUUUUCCCAACGACCUCACCAGGUCACCCUCACAGACCACCGUGGCUCAGGGCUCUGCUGCUAGACUUGACCAUGGAGUCCAGGCGUGCAUCUUCUGGCUUCCGCAUGUCUUCUGCCCUGGGAGCUCUGGCCGCAGGUGGAUGCCCGUUUGGCGCCAGCCAACAUCUGCCCUUCUAGAAGCCUAUGGAAACAGUAGGCCCGCCAUGUGAUGAUUUCCUGUGCCUGCACCCAUGACAGACACGAUCUACUGUGGGAUUUCUGAACUUUGCUGGCAGCCAUGCAGAUGACCUGGGCUGGUCCUGACAUUCUCUGCCCAGUAUAUGUGCCCCCAGGUCCAUGUCGUGGCUGGAGCCACUGGAUAGAGUUUAAAAAGCAGUUCUGGUAGGAGGAGCGAGGGGAACGGCUGUUUGUCCUCACUGGGAUCUGAGCUGCUGGGGAAGCAAUGUGUGUCCAGAGGUGAGGCAGUGCUCACUGCAAGAAACAGUAAAAGUGGUUGGGGGGGGGGACCCAACCAGGGCCAUUAGUGGCCCCCCCCCCAUCAGUGCCGAGGGACUGUUCCCACGGCAUAUCCCAGCACACAGCUUGGUUGGGUUGGAUUGGGUUGAAGGCACAUGUCCUCUCUCCCAGCUGGCUCCUCAGGGGUGGAAUCUGGUUCACUUUGCCUUCGUGGCCCCCACAUCUUCCACAUGGAGCUGGGUUCACAGGCACUGCCCCUAAAAUCAUCCCUCAAUCUGAUCUGGCUUAACCUGCAGCUGCACCAUUUUCAGGAGAGGCCAGAUAAGUGGGCUGCUGGGUCCUAAGUGAUCCCCAGGCCACCAGGAGGUAGGCGUGGGCAAGAAACUCUUGACCUUGUGUGGAAAUCACCGUGGGACUGCUGAGCCCCAUUCCUGGGAAUUAUACACACACUUUAAUAAAAUGGAAAGGACUCUGCCCCCUCUCA